GAUUAUGGCUCAGGAUGAACGCUGGCGGCGCGCUUAACACAUGCAAGUCGAACGGUUAAAGCACCUCCGGGUGUGCAUAAAGUGGCGAACGGCUGAGUAACACGUGGGCAACCUGCCCCCCGCACCGGGAUAGCCUCGGGAAACCGUGGGUAAUACCGGAUACUCCGCCACCCCCGCAUGGGGGAGGCGGGAAAGCGUACACGGCGGGGGAUGGGCCCGCGGCCUGUUAGCUCGUUGGCGGGGUAACGGCCCACCAAGGCGAUUAUGGGUAGCCGGGUUGAGAGACCGACCGGCCAGAUUGGGACUGAGACACGGCCCAGACUCCUACGGGAGGCAGCAGUGGGGAAUCUUGCACAAUGGGCGAAAGCCUGAUGCAGCCGACGCCGCGUGCGGGAAGAAGGCCCUCGGGUUGUAAACCGCUUUCAGCAGGGACGAGGCGCAAGUGACGGUACCUGCAGAAGAAGCCCCGGCUAACUACGUGCCAGCAGCUGC
This 492-nucleotide ribosomal RNA is filed under the name uncultured bacterium. Its description in RNAcentral is "bacterial SSU rRNA". It matches the Rfam family "Bacterial small subunit ribosomal RNA", at positions 15 to 518 of the family's 1533-position model. The record is from RNAcentral.